This 1502-nucleotide ribosomal RNA is filed under the name Lactobacillus sp. NBRC 14513. Its description in RNAcentral is "16S ribosomal RNA". It matches the Rfam family "Bacterial small subunit ribosomal RNA". The record is from RNAcentral. Lineage: Bacteria; Bacillati; Bacillota; Bacilli; Lactobacillales; Lactobacillaceae.
GAUGAACGCCGGCGGUGUGCCUAAUACAUGCAAGUCGUACGCACUGGCCCAACUGAUUGAUGGUGCUUGCACCUGAUUGACGAUGGAUCACCAGUGAGUGGCGGACGGGUGAGUAACACGUAGGUAACCUGCCCCGGAGCGGGGGAUAACAUUUGGAAACAGAUGCUAAUACCGCAUAACAACAAAAGCCACAUGGCUUUUGUUUGAAAGAUGGCUUUGGCUAUCACUCUGGGAUGGACCUGCGGUGCAUUAGCUAGUUGGUAAGGUAACGGCUUACCAAGGCGAUGAUGCAUAGCCGAGUUGAGAGACUGAUCGGCCACAAUGGAACUGAGACACGGUCCAUACUCCUACGGGAGGCAGCAGUAGGGAAUCUUCCACAAUGGGCGCAAGCCUGAUGGAGCAACACCGCGUGAGUGAAGAAGGGUUUCGGCUCGUAAAGCUCUGUUGUUGGAGAAGAACGUGCGUGAGAGUAACUGUUCACGCAGUGACGGUAUCCAACCAGAAAGUCACGGCUAACUACGUGCCAGCAGCCGCGGUAAUACGUAGGUGGCAAGCGUUAUCCGGAUUUAUUGGGCGUAAAGCGAGCGCAGGCGGUUGCUUAGGUCUGAUGUGAAAGCCUUCGGCUUAACCGAAGAAGUGCAUCGGAAACCGGGCGACUUGAGUGCAGAAGAGGACAGUGGAACUCCAUGUGUAGCGGUGGAAUGCGUAGAUAUAUGGAAGAACACCAGUGGCGAAGGCGGCUGUCUGGUCUGCAACUGACGCUGAGGCUCGAAAGCAUGGGUAGCGAACAGGAUUAGAUACCCUGGUAGUCCAUGCCGUAAACGAUGAGUGCUAGGUGUUGGAGGGUUUCCGCCCUUCAGUGCCGGAGCUAACGCAUUAAGCACUCCGCCUGGGGAGUACGACCGCAAGGUUGAAACUCAAAGGAAUUGACGGGGGCCCGCACAAGCGGUGGAGCAUGUGGUUUAAUUCGAAGCUACGCGAAGAACCUUACCAGGUCUUGACAUCUUGCGCUAACCUUAGAGAUAAGGCGUUCCCUUCGGGGACGCAAUGACAGGUGGUGCAUGGUCGUCGUCAGCUCGUGUCGUGAGAUGUUGGGUUAAGUCCCGCAACGAGCGCAACCCUUGUUACUAGUUGCCAGCAUUAAGUUGGGCACUCUAGUGAGACUGCCGGUGACAAACCGGAGGAAGGUGGGGACGACGUCAGAUCAUCAUGCCCCUUAUGACCUGGGCUACACACGUGCUACAAUGGACGGUACAACGAGUCGCAAGCUCGCGAGAGUAAGCUAAUCUCUUAAAGCCGUUCUCAGUUCGGACUGUAGGCUGCAACUCGCCUACACGAAGUCGGAAUCGCUAGUAAUCGCGGAUCAGCAUGCCGCGGUGAAUACGUUCCCGGGCCUUGUACACACCGCCCGUCACACCAUGGGAGUUUGUAACGCCCAAAGUCGGUGGCCCUAACCUUUAUGGAGGGAGCCGCCUAAGGCGGGACAGAUGACUGGGGUGAAG